UCGGUCGUCGUUCGUUUUCCAGCAAAUUCGGUUUGUUACCGCGGGUUGGGGUCAUUGCCCAACUCAAUAAUAUUUACAUUUCUGUCGCGUGUCACCCAAGUAUCAGCUGUUUGGUUGUUGACAUUAACUCGUGUCGCAUUGGGAGUUCCGUUAGACUCAGAAAUGGAAAAUGAUUCUGAACAGCAACAAAGAUGCAUGCACAGAAUCAAUCCCAAGAAUCAACUCUAUGUCUCACCCAGUGAUGCAUUAUAUUAGAUUAUAGCAAUGAAAAUGUUCUAUAUAUUGUUACAAUAUUCAGUUAUUAGACAUGUAAUUAAAAGCUGUGGACCUGCAGAAACUUAAUUACAUCAAUACAAAUUACAAAUUGUUUGGAAAUAUGUAUUUAGAAACAAUAUUUGAAGACAAGUUUCUCCUUUGUUACAGUUUGUAGAAUUAGUUCAGUUAAGAGUGUUUCUUGAUUUGAGAUGCUUAAAGAUGAAAAUUACUAACAUGUUUUUGAAUUCAUAUGUCCAUUGUAUUACAACAUUUGUUUUCAUCAUAAAUUACAUGUGGAUAGGAAUUAUGACAUGUUUACAUGGCAGAUUGAAAAGACAAUUACAUAAUCGAUUAAAAUUAAUAUUGUUUGUAUUCAACAAUAAUAUAUUGAUUAGCAAUUAGCAUAAAUGACUAAAAUAAAGUUUCAAGCCCAUGUAUUUGUUAUUUUAAUAAAAUCAGGACCAGAUAGUUUACUUAGUGAGGUAUCAAAUAUUUCACUGUGUGCUUUUUGGGCUGCUACAUUACAGCCUGUACUGCAGUAAUAUACAGGGUGGGACAAAUAAAAGUGGCCUGGAGAACAGAGUUCCAAGGUACAAAGAAACACAGCAGAGGACCGGAAAUACAGUACUAAUCUGACUACGGCAGAUGUUGAAAGUGACCACCAUUCAUCUCUUGGCACUUUUGGGCUCUGGUCAGCAAGUUGCUGAAGGCAGAUCAAAGAUGGACUGUUUGGAAUUGCUGCAUUCUCAUCCAAAAUGCUCUGCUGCAUUUCUUGAAGACUAUGAAUGUUGUUAUGAUACACCAUAAAAUUGAGGGCUUCCCACACACUGACAGACCAGGUGACCUGGGUGGCUAGCUAGGGUCAGACCAGACUAACCUCUGCUAACAACCCUGUCAGGUAUGAAGAUUGUGUAGAAGUGUUCCAAGGUUUGGCCCACUGUAUGGGCUAUUGCUCCAUCCUGUUGGAAGUAACUGUAGGUCUUUUCCUCCUCUGUUAGUACUGGCACAAAUGGUUUCAAAAUGUUGGCAAUGUAACUCACCAAAUUCAGUGUCUAGUGAAUGAAGAUGGGACCAAUAGAGCAGCCUGUACAUCAAACCCAACCUUAUGAUUGUGGAAUGGCAUUCUGUGGAAGUUAUGUGGAUUCUCCACUGCCCAGAACCUGUGAUUCUGUGUGUCGAUAUAACCACUCAUGUGAAACCAGGCUUCAUCAGACAGAAGAAACAGAUCCAUGUCCAAGCCAUUCAUUGUUAUCCCUGUGAAUCACAAAACUGGAGACACUGAGGAGCAUCUGCUGUUUUUAAUGUGUGAGCAAUAGACUCUUGGUAGGGAUGCAUGUGCAGGUGCAGGUAGACUAUGAUCGUGUGAUGUGCCGAUCUCUUGAGACAGACAUUGGGUUGAUUUGAUAACACUCGGAAGCAUUUACUGGUGAACUGAAGCCACAUUUUCUGGUGUGUGGGCACAUUUCGGAUUUUUUUUUUUUUUUUGGACUUGUGGAAAACAGACCCUGUCCAAUGCCAUUUUCAGGCUAAGUGUUGCAUGGCACUCUUUGCUGGCACUUUGACACCAUGAACUUCUGAGCAAACAACUGACCACACCAUUUCCACGACUCUGAUGUCACAUAACUUUCCACAGUGAACACCUGCUGCUCAACUGUGAGUACCAUCAAGCCCUUUGCACUGCUCCACUCACACUCACACAGCUGGCACUAUGCUCUGAACUGGUGUGGACCAUGUGGCAUGCAUACACAUUGUGUCACUGGGUGUGGUUAUAUGCAUACAUUCAUGUCUAAUUGUAUCCACUUGUCCGGGCCACUUUUAUCUGCCCCACCCUGUAGAAAGACAUAAAAAUAUUUCAUUGACACUAUUGUUGGAGCUCUGAUCAAUGACUGUUCUUGUACCAGCAAGCAAUUGUCUUUCAGAGCCUCCUAUAUGCAAGUGUACAGGUGUAAGCCCAUUUUUAUUGGACUUAUUUUACUUGUUUCAAUGGCUAAUACCACUUCUUAAUAAAGUUAAUAUUUUGUUUUUAAUUCUCCGUAGAUAUCAAUACACGGAAUACAAAUAGCAAAGGCUACAGCAGUGUUAACAGUGAAGUGGUACUAAUAAACUUUAUGAGAAGUUGUGUGUUCA
Molecule: long non-coding RNA, 2382 nt
Organism: Schistocerca piceifrons (Central American locust)
Lineage: Eukaryota; Metazoa; Arthropoda; Insecta; Orthoptera; Acrididae
Exons: 2
Source: RefSeq, a predicted model, not a curated record